This 147-nucleotide small RNA is filed under the name Virgibacillus sp. RNAcentral describes it as "c-di-AMP sequence". It matches the Rfam family "c-di-AMP riboswitch aptamer (ydaO/yuaA leader)". Rfam says of the family: This family represents a conserved RNA structure found upstream of the ydaO and yuaA genes in Bacillus subtilis and related genes in other bacteria. The ydaO/yuaA element is thought to act as a genetic "off" switch for the ydaO and yuaA genes in its native state. It is believed that the element may be triggered during osmotic shock leading to activation of ydaO, a predicted amino acid transporter gene, and members of the yuaA-yubG operon which code for KtrA and KtrB K+ transporters. Lineage: Bacteria; Bacillati; Bacillota; Bacilli; Caryophanales; Bacillaceae. The record is from RNAcentral. RNAcentral also lists the same sequence under 1 other name.
CAUUUGUAAUCGCUGAAUUCCAAUGGGAACGGGGGAACCAAUCUUGAUGUGGUAAUGUACCACUGGGGUGAAUCCUUUGUAAAGGUAGGGUGACUCUUAACAUCCGAAUCCGACAGCUAACCCCGUAAGCGUUUAAAGAGAUAACAA